Molecule: ribosomal RNA, 254 nt
Filed under: uncultured bacterium
Lineage: Bacteria
Description: partial 16S ribosomal RNA
Rfam family: Bacterial small subunit ribosomal RNA
Source: RNAcentral
UACGUAGGGGGCGAGCGUUGUCCGGAUUUAUUGGGCGUAAAAGGCUUGUAGGUGGCCACGUCAAGUCGGAUGUGAAAUCCCUCAGCUUAACUGGGGAACUGCGUCUGAUACUGGCGAGCUUGAGUGCAGGAGAGGAACGCGGAAUUCCAGGUGUAGCGGUGAAAUGCGUAGAUAUCUGGAGGAACACCGGUGGCGAAGGCGGCUAUCUGGUCCAACACUGACACUGAGGCCCGAAAGCGUGGGGAUCAAACAGG